CCCAGACCAUCUCUAGGUCCAGGCUUAUUUCUCCCACGGGUGUGUGGUGACUGGAAGGGUUUCUGUUAUAGGGCUAGUAAAAGACUGGUCACAGUUUUAGAAGAAACCAAACAGUGUGAUCUAUAGUGUGUGCUGCGGACCCCGGAGUUCAAGGUUAGACCAGGAGCAGACGCUGACCUCACACUUCUGAUAGACAAAUGAAGAAGUCAGCACCUCAACCUGAGCUUAAAACAAGAUGCCAGAAGAAAAGAUCAAAGAGCUUAAGACGGAAUUCCAGAAAAAUCAAAUGCAGGAACACUGGCGGUCAAGUUACUAAUAGAUUUCAGGACCUCUUUUACUAUCUCUAUAGGCAGAUAGAGAGCCAUGCCCACCAUCAUUUCUACCAGUGCCACUUCUACCCGGAGGAGUUGUUCCUUGUCUUCCAAUUCCUUUACCUGGAAUAACUGAUAAACCAUCAUCACCACCAUGGUCCUCUUUGUACAAGGACCUCCUCCUCCAUUACCACCUCUGUUGAGGCAGGAGAAACUUCUCCAGAUCAUCACUUGCUCUAAUUUAAAGGAAUGAAGCAGAAAUAAAUGUAUAAAACUAAA
Molecule: long non-coding RNA, 590 nt
Organism: Lutra lutra (Eurasian river otter)
Lineage: Eukaryota; Metazoa; Chordata; Mammalia; Carnivora; Mustelidae
Exons: 4
Source: RefSeq, a predicted model, not a curated record